AAUAUUGGACAACUGGGGAAACCCUGAUCCAGCAAUGCCGUGAGUGUGAGAAGGCCUGCGGGUUGUAAAGACCUUUCAGUGGAGAAGGUUAUGUCGGUACUUCCAAAAGAAGCACCGGCUAACUCCUUGCCAGCAGCCGGGGUAAUACGGAGGGUGCGAGCGUUAUUCGGAAUUAUCGCUGGUAAAGCAUACUUCGCGGGUUUGGUAAUUCGUAUGUGAAAUCCCCGGGAUCAAUCUGGGAAUUGCAUUUGAAACUGCCUCACUAGAGUCUAGCAGAGGGAUGGGGAAUUCCGGGUGUAGCGGUGAAAUGCGUAGAGAUCCGGAGGAACAUCAGUGGCGAAGGCGCCAUCCUGGGGUAAGACUGACGCUGAGGUACGAAAGGGGGGGACCAAACCGGAUUAGAUACCCUGCUAGUCCACGCCGUA
RNAcentral lists this ribosomal RNA (425 nucleotides) under uncultured marine bacterium. RNAcentral describes it as "bacterial SSU rRNA". It matches the Rfam family "Bacterial small subunit ribosomal RNA", at positions 360 to 804 of the family's 1533-position model. The record is from RNAcentral.